RNAcentral lists this ribosomal RNA (484 nucleotides) under uncultured bacterium. Its description in RNAcentral is "partial 16S ribosomal RNA". It matches the Rfam family "Bacterial small subunit ribosomal RNA", at positions 30 to 507 of the family's 1533-position model. The record is from RNAcentral.
AUUGAACGCUGGCGGCAGGCCUAACACAUGCAAGUCGAGCGGAUGAAGGGAGCUUGCUCCUGGAUUCAGCGGCGGACGGGUGAGUAAUGCCUAGGAAUCUGCCUGGUAGUGGGGGAUAACGUCCGGAAACGGGCGCUAAUACCGCAUACGUCCUGAGGGAGAAAGUGGGGGAUCUUCGGACCUCACGCUAUCAGAUGAGCCUAGGUCGGAUUAGCUAGUCGGUGGGGUAAAGGCCUACCAAGGCGACGAUCCGUAACUGGUCUGAGAGGAUGAUCAGUCACACUGGAACUGAGACACGGUCCAGACUCCUACGGGAGGCAGCAGUGGGGAAUAUUGGACAAAGGGCGAAAGCCUGAUCCAGCCAUGCCGCGUGUGUGAAGAAGGUCUUCGGAUUGUAAAGCACUUUAAGUUGGGAGGAAGGGCAGUAAGUUAAUACCUUGCUGUUUUGACGUUACCAACAGAAUAAGCACCGGCUAACUUCGUG